GAAAGGUGUCUCAUUGCUGUCACUUCUUGGGAAGAAAUAAUUUUCAUGAACCAUCUCAGAGUGUAACAUGUGGUUGGAAUUACUAAGGCUGAUAAAAUGACUUCAAUGGUUACAAGGCAUUCAGCCACAUUUUUGCCUGAUUUCUCCUGCUGUGAGUCACCUGGUGUCUCCUGGCUCCAAGGCAAGACAGCAUGGCAGAAGACAUUGUGGAGGAAAAGCUGCUCCCCUUGUGGAGACCAGGACACAGAGACGGAAGGACAGAGCUGGACUGGAGAUACACACUUCCAGGCCAUGCCCCGAGGGGCCCACCUCUCCUGAGCAGGCCCCACCUCCUAACAGCAGUCUCAGUGUCCUGCGGUCUCAGAAGCAUCACCCACACUGACAGGAAAGAGCCGAAAAGAGACGGGAAAUAAGGAUAUAGCAAUUGUCUAGACAAGUAUCACAGAUGGGCAACAAGGGACAGCAGAAACUUCAAAUUCGGUGUGAGAUGUCCCCAAGGCGCAGGACAGCCACCUGGGAUGCAUGAAGUACCACAACUGAGGGUCCCUGAAAUUUGGCCAUUCUGGUCUUAUCCCUCGGGACAAUGCAACCUGCUGGGCUGAAGCGUUGGAGGACAUUCUGUUUCUAGGAGUGGUGGCACUGGAGUAGAGCAGGCUGUUCUGGCCGGCUCAUCUCAGGAUUUUCAGAAUACAGGACAGUUAUUCUUGAGAACUAUAGUAUUAGCAAGAUGGAGCACUGUCUUGGGCAUGUGUAUGGGUCACUCCCCUGGCUUCUGCUCAACAUAGGUGAGAUUCCACUGCCUCAGCAUUUUAAAGUACUUCUGUCAACUUUACACUUGAAUUUAUCUUGUGGAACCUAAAUAUCAUAGUGAUUUGACAAAUACUAUCAUCCUUUACAGGUGUAUACACAAAUGAAUCUUUCCUAAACAUUGGUAAAAUUUCAAUUUUGCUUUAUCCUUGACUUGAAUUUCCAUUCCACUUCUCCCAUAGAAUUUUACU
This is a long non-coding RNA of Chinchilla lanigera (long-tailed chinchilla), 998 nucleotides long. RefSeq lists it as uncharacterized. The record is from RefSeq and is a predicted model, not a curated record. NCBI's taxonomy places the organism in Eukaryota, Metazoa, Chordata, Mammalia, Rodentia, Chinchillidae. The transcript has 5 exons.